UUGGGGACAACAUUCCGAAAGGGAUGCUAAUACCGAAUGUCCUCCCUCCUCCGCAUGGAGGAGGGAGGAAAGAUGGCCUCUGCUUGCAAGCUAUCGCUGGAAGAUGGGCCCGCGUCUGAUUAGCUAGUUGGUGGGGUAACGGCUCACCAAGGCGAUGAUCAGUAGCCGGUCUGAGAGGAUGAACGGCCACAUUGGGACUGAGACACGGCCCAA
This 213-nucleotide ribosomal RNA is filed under the name uncultured bacterium. RNAcentral describes it as "partial 16S ribosomal RNA". It matches the Rfam family "Bacterial small subunit ribosomal RNA", at positions 137 to 334 of the family's 1533-position model. The record is from RNAcentral.